AAUAUACUCCCUCCGUCCUAAAAUUCUUGUCUUAGUUUGUCUAAAAAAUGAAAUAUCAAAAUACUAAAACAUGACUAGAUACAUUCAUAUCUUAACAAACCUAAAACAAGAAUUUUAGGACGGAGAAAGUAUAUG
Molecule: non-coding RNA, 135 nt
Organism: Hordeum vulgare subsp. vulgare (domesticated barley)
Lineage: Eukaryota; Viridiplantae; Streptophyta; Magnoliopsida; Poales; Poaceae
Source: Rfam